AGGACGAACGCUGGCGGCGUGCUUAACACAUGCAAGUCGAGCGAGGCCCCUCCUUCGGGAGGGUGUCCUAGCGGCGAACGGGUGAGUAACACGUGGGCAACCUGCCCUCAGCUCUGGGAUAACCCCGGGAAACCGGGGCUAAUACCGGAUACGACCUCCUCGGGCAUCUGAGGUGGUGGAAAGUUUUUCGGCUGAGGAUGGGCCCGCGGCCUAUCAGCUUGUUGGUGGGGUGAUGGCCUACCAAGGCGACGACGGGUAGCCGGCCUGAGAGGGUGACCGGCCACACUGGGACUGAGACACGGCCCAGACUCCUACGGGAGGCAGCAGUGGGGAAUAUUGCGCAAUGGGCGAAAGCCUGACGCAGCGACGCCGCGUGAGGGACGAAGGCCUUCGGGUUGUAAACCGUCUUUCAGCAGGGACGAAGCGAAAGUGACGGUACCUGCAGAAGAAGCACCGGCCAACUACGCGCCAGCAGCCGC
Molecule: ribosomal RNA, 479 nt
Filed under: uncultured bacterium
Lineage: Bacteria
Description: SSU rRNA
Rfam family: Bacterial small subunit ribosomal RNA
Source: RNAcentral